This 254-nucleotide ribosomal RNA is filed under the name uncultured bacterium. RNAcentral's name for it is "partial 16S ribosomal RNA". It matches the Rfam family "Bacterial small subunit ribosomal RNA", at positions 524 to 776 of the family's 1533-position model. The record is from RNAcentral.
CACGUAGGGUGCGAGCGUUGUCCGGAAUUAUUGGGCGUAAAGAGCUCGUAAGCGGUGUGUCGCGUCGGCCGUGAAAACCUGCAGCUUAACUGUGGGCUUGCGGUCGAUACGGGCAUCACUGGAGUUCGGCAGGGGAGACUGGAAUUCCUGGUGUAGCGGUGAAAUGCGCAGAUAUCAGGAGGAACACCGGUGGCGAAGGCGGCAUCCUGGACCGAUACUGACGCUGAGGAGCGAAAGCAUGGGUAGCGAACAGG